Molecule: ribosomal RNA, 836 nt
Filed under: Gorgonolaureus sp. Asco_sp_1
Lineage: Eukaryota; Metazoa; Arthropoda; Thecostraca; Laurida; Synagogidae
Description: SSU rRNA
Rfam family: Eukaryotic small subunit ribosomal RNA
Source: RNAcentral
CAAAGAUUAAGCCAUGCAUGUCUAAGUCCAUGCCCCAGCAAGGUGACACCGCAAAAGGCUCAUUAAAUCGGUCGUUGUUUCUUAGAUCGUACUUUGCUACUUGGAUAACUGUGGUAAUUCUAGAGCUAAUACAUGCAAACGAGUUCUGACCUUCGCGGGGAAGAGCGCAUUUAUUAGUCUAAAAACCGAUCGUGUCCUCUCGGAGGGCACGCGCAUCUGGUGACUCUGAAUAACCUUGAGCAGAUCGCAUGGUCUCGUACCGGCGACGCAUCUUUCAAAUGUCUGCCUUAUCAGCUUUCGAUUGUAGGUUAUACGCCUACAAUGGCAAUAACGGGUAACGGGGAAUCAGGGUUCGAUUCCGGAGAGGGAGCCUGAGAAACGGCUACCACAUCCAAGGAAGGCAGCAGGCACGCAAAUUACCCACUCCCGGCUCGGGGAGGUAGUGACGAAAAAUAACAAUACGGGACUCAUCCGAGGCCUCGUAAUUGGAAUGAGUACAAUUUAAAUCCUUUAACGAGGAUCUAUUGGAGGGCAAGUCUGGUGCCAGCAGCCGCGGUAAUUCCAGCUCCAAUAGCGUAUAUUAAAGUUGUUGCGGUUAAAAAGCUCGUAGUUGGAUCUCGGUUCCAGACGGGCGGUUCGCCGCACGGCGCUACUGCCCGGCCUGAACAUGCCGCCGGUUCGUCCGAGGUGCUCUUCACCGAGUGUCUCGGGUGGCCAGUACGUUUACUUUGAAAAAAUUAGAGUGCUUAAAGCAGGCGAAUAGCCUGAAUAAUUGUGCAUGGAAUAAUGAAACAAGACCUUGGUUUUAUUUUGUUGGUUUUCGAAACCGAAGGUGA